GUGAGAGACUCCAGGAGACUUAAUUUCUCUGUCCACAGAACUGGUGCAGCAAAGGCAGCAACAGUGCAAUCUUCCUCAUGUAGCCACAUCAAUGUGCCUCAACUUUGAUUUACAGAGCUCAACUCUGGGGUCAGAAUAAGAUAUUAGUUCAGUUUCCAUCCCCAUUCAAUUCUUGGCCACU
This 181-nucleotide small RNA is filed under the name Chelonoidis abingdonii (Abingdon island giant tortoise). RNAcentral describes it as "TUC338 (ENSCABG00000018800.1)". The record is from RNAcentral. Lineage: Eukaryota; Metazoa; Chordata; Testudines; Testudinidae.